Mus musculus (house mouse) is the source of this 296-nucleotide long non-coding RNA. RefSeq lists it as uncharacterized. The transcript has 3 exons. Lineage: Eukaryota; Metazoa; Chordata; Mammalia; Rodentia; Muridae. The record is from RefSeq and is marked validated.
GUCUAAGAAGACGCAGAAAAGAAAAUUCCAAUUUUAGUGCUGAGUUGCUUCCCGUGACAUGUGGUAACUUGAAGGGAGUGUUACACAAGGAUAAAUUCAAACAAGGGAUAUCUGUGAAGUCCAUACAGUGUCAGAAUGGAAACUGGUUCACACCCUCGGAAUUUGAAAUGAUGGGAGGCUAUGGAAAGUCAAAGAACUGGAAACUGAGCCUGGGCUGCCAUAAUUGGCCCCUGAAACUCCUGAUCCAGAGAAAUUUUCUACCCAAUCCUCCACGGAUACAUCACAAAAGAAAAGAG